GUUUUAAUAGUUUAACUAAAACUUUGGUCUUGUAAGCCAAAAAUGAAUUUUUUUCUUAAAACU
Molecule: transfer RNA, 63 nt
Filed under: Metanephrops thomsoni
Lineage: Eukaryota; Metazoa; Arthropoda; Malacostraca; Decapoda; Nephropidae
Description: tRNA-Thr
Rfam family: tRNA
About the family: Transfer RNA (tRNA) molecules are approximately 80 nucleotides in length. Their secondary structure includes four short double-helical elements and three loops (D, anti-codon, and T loops).
Source: RNAcentral